This 460-nucleotide ribosomal RNA is filed under the name uncultured bacterium. Its description in RNAcentral is "partial 16S ribosomal RNA". It matches the Rfam family "Bacterial small subunit ribosomal RNA", at positions 338 to 795 of the family's 1533-position model. The record is from RNAcentral.
CCUACGGGUGGCAGCAGUGAGGAAUAUUGGUCAAUGGGCGAGAGCCUGAACCAGCCAAGUCGCGUGAGGGAAGACGGUCCUAUGGAUUGUAAACCUCUUUUGUCAGGGAGCAAGAAGCUCCACGAGUGGUGCUACGAGAGUACCUGAAGAAAAAGCAUCGGCUAACUCCGUGCCAGCAGCCGCGGUAAUACGGAAGAUGCGAGCGUUAUUCGGAUUUAUUGGGUGUAAAGGGUGCGCAGGCGGAAGCGGCAAGUCAGCGGUAAAAUUGCGGGGCUCAACCUCACCGAGCCGUUGAAACUGCUGUUCUUGAGUGAACGAGAGGUAUGCGGAAUGCGUGGUGUAGCGGUGAAAUGCAGAGAUAUCACGCAGAACUCCGAUUGCGAAGGCAGCAUACCGGCGCUCAACUGACGCUGAUGCACGAAAGUGUGGGUAUCGAACAGGAUUAGAUACCCCAGUAGUC